AGACUUACUUGGUGGAGGUGAUCCCAUGAUCACAGAGUGCUUUUCCCAGGGUGCAGCUUACCCAUUACACUCUGAACAUGCUGAUCCCUAUAAUUUUGCCAAAUGAGGGAAACCCAGCCCCAUCAUUUGUAGCCCUGGGGGACUAUGUUUAUACUCUGCCCUG
Molecule: small nuclear RNA, 163 nt
Organism: Microtus ochrogaster (prairie vole)
Lineage: Eukaryota; Metazoa; Chordata; Mammalia; Rodentia; Cricetidae
Gene: U1
Rfam family: U1 spliceosomal RNA
About the family: U1 is a small nuclear RNA (snRNA) component of the spliceosome (involved in pre-mRNA splicing). Its 5' end forms complementary base pairs with the 5' splice junction, thus defining the 5' donor site of an intron.
Source: Ensembl